RNAcentral lists this non-coding RNA (95 nucleotides) under bovine gut metagenome. RNAcentral describes it as "THF riboswitch". It matches the Rfam family "THF (Tetrahydrofolate) riboswitch aptamer". Rfam says of the family: THF riboswitch presents a pseudoknot that joins P1-P2 and the loop of P3 and two THF binding. The record is from RNAcentral.
CAGAGUAGGGAAUAAGGCGUCAAGUGCCGCGCGGACGGGGAGUUGCCGCGCGGACGAAAGGAUAAUCCUGCGGCCGUGUUCCCGCAUCCCGCUGU